AGGUCAUUUAAAAGAGAACAUAUGGGACCAAAACCAGGAGCUCUUAAUGCUGAGGCAUAAGAUUGAAGUUCUUUAUAGGAUGUAAUAGAUACUCAAUGGUGCUAUAUUUUCCUGAGGAGAUAUAAGA
This is a non-coding RNA of Myotis brandtii (Brandt's bat), 127 nucleotides long. The record is from Rfam. Lineage: Eukaryota; Metazoa; Chordata; Mammalia; Chiroptera; Vespertilionidae.